Molecule: long non-coding RNA, 384 nt
Organism: Grammomys surdaster
Lineage: Eukaryota; Metazoa; Chordata; Mammalia; Rodentia; Muridae
Exons: 3
Source: RefSeq, a predicted model, not a curated record
UAAUCAUACCUGUUUCCACUCUUCAAGUUGCUGUCAUAUAAAACCUGCAAUAGAGUCAAGUAUCCCAUCAGAGUAGAUGCAAGCUGACUGCGGGAACAGGGCAGUGCACACAAACACUUGAGUCUCACUGCAUGGCACGGGCCCGUCUAGAGCUCACAGAUCUCUGCCUUCCCGAGAGAUUGGAUUAAAGGCUUGUGAUGCCACACCAGACUCUAGAAUCUCAACCUGUCAAAUAAGUGUCAUGUAGGAACCUGAAAGGGCCGCACGGAACAUCAAGCUCUCUCUGGGUCAGUGACGGAAUCACCAACGGGCUUCAUGUGGAUCCCCAGGAAGUGCCUAUCUAAUGGGCAAGUGCCUCUGGUAAACUCCUAGAGCUGUUUAUUC